CCAUUACUAUGCCGACUAGGGAUCGGGUCUGUUCUUCCUUGAGCGCUAGGCACCGUACGAGAAAUCAAAGUCUAUGGGUUCUGGGGGGAGUAUGGUUGCUAGGCUGAUACUUAAAGGAAUUGGAGAUGGGCCCCACCAGGAAAGGAGCCUGCGGCAAUUAAUUUGACUCAACACGGGGAAACUCUCCAAGUCCAGACGCAUAUAGGGAUUGACCGAUUGAGAGCUCUUUCUUGAUUUUGUGGGUGGUGGUGCAUGGCCGUUAUGAGGUGGUGGAGUGAUUUGUCUGCUUAAUUGUGAUACCGAACGAGACCUUAACCUACUAAAUAGUGCUGCUAGCUUUUGCUGGUAUAGUCACUUUUUAGAGGGACUAUCGAUUUCCAUUCGAUGGAAGUUUGAGGCAAUAACAGGUCUGUGUUGCCCUUAGUCUUUCUGGGCCGCACGCGCGGUACACUGACGGAGCCAGCUAAAUUUAUACCUUGGCCCAGUGGUCUGGGAAAUCUUGCACCUUAUUGCUUGC
Molecule: ribosomal RNA, 517 nt
Filed under: uncultured fungus
Lineage: Eukaryota; Fungi
Description: bacterial SSU rRNA
Rfam family: Eukaryotic small subunit ribosomal RNA
Source: RNAcentral